Neopsephotus bourkii (Bourke's parrot) is the source of this 1127-nucleotide long non-coding RNA. RefSeq lists it as uncharacterized. The transcript is spliced from 3 exons. The record is from RefSeq and is a predicted model, not a curated record. NCBI's taxonomy places the organism in Eukaryota, Metazoa, Chordata, Aves, Psittaciformes, Psittacidae.
CGGGCAUUGCUGAGGCUCUGCAAACCUCUGAAGUGCACAGGAGGACCAGCUGGGGCAGCUGAGAGCAUUCAGUAACUCAGAGGUGGAUGGGAUAAUAGGAACAAGAAAAGCUCCAGAAAACAGGCUAGCUGCAACUACAAGUGACAAAAGCAACUCAUCAGCAGAAGCAAGAGGAAUGUGCUAAUGAUCAUUUUCCUGCCAGGCAAACCCCAGCUUCUCCAGCAAUGGAGCACAAACAAAUCUAGCAAAACCCAAGAAAAAUUAUCCUGCAUCAAUAACAUCAGAAAGAACAUAGAAAAGAAAGAUCAACGGCUUCUGUUGUUCGGGUGACAAAACUAAAACAAAACAGAAGGGAAGAAUUGCUUCAGAUUGAACUGGAAGAUUUGGCUUCUGAAACAAAACAAUACAAAGGCAAGUAACAGCUAUAGACAGUCCUCUGUUCAGCUCAAGACAUCCUGAUGCUGGGCACUGAAGCUAAAAUACGGGCAGAGCACUGCCAUUAUAUCCCCCAUGUCAUCGGCCACAAAUUGCCUGUGUGUCACCCCUACCUCACAGUUCCUGCCAGAGAGCCCUGAACAUCCCCCACAAGCAAGUCUAAGGCUGUUCAGUCCAUGGUUUCUUAUCUGCCAGCUCUGUCAACAAAUGUAACAUCUGCCAAGGAUGCAGUUCACAUCCAUUAGGAGCUCACGGGAGCAUAAGGCAUGUUACAAAGGACAAAGCAGCCAUUAGGUUGUCAUUAUCUUCACUGUGCACAAGCCUGUCCAGCAGCUGACCUGCAUGUAGGCACAAGAAUUCUCAAGGCUUUGCACUAAACACACACAGCAAUGUUAGCAAGAAACCCGAGGUCAGGGUUUAAAACAGGUCAGAGCAUUCAAGAGUAACAAUAACCUUUUUCAUAUUCUGCAAGUUUAAAACUCAACUAGUUUUCAGUUACUUUUUUCUUUUUUAAUGUAAAAUCAUAGAAUCCCAGACAGGUUUGUGUUGGAAGGGACCUUAAAGCUCAUCCAGUUCCAACCCCUGCCACGGGCAGGGACACCUUCCACUAGAGCAGCUUGCUCCAAGCCCCUGUGUCCAACCUGGCCUUGAGCACUGCCAGGGAUGGGGCAGCCACAGCUUCUCUGGGCACC